UACAGAGGGUGCGAGCGUUGUCCGGAAUCACUGGGCGUAGAGGGCGCGUAGGCGGCUCGGUAAGGUUGCGGUGAAAGCCCGGGGCUCAACCCCGGGUCGGCCGUGGCAACUGCUGAGCUGGAGCACUGUAGAGGCAGGUGGAAUUCCGGGUGUAGCGGUGGAAUGCGUAGAGAUCCGGAAGAACACCGGUGGCGAAGGCGGCCUGCUGGGCAGUGGCUGACGCUGAGGCGCGACAGCGUGGGGAUCAAACAGG
Molecule: ribosomal RNA, 253 nt
Filed under: uncultured bacterium
Lineage: Bacteria
Description: partial 16S ribosomal RNA
Rfam family: Bacterial small subunit ribosomal RNA
Source: RNAcentral